GUGUUCGCUUCAGCAGCACAUAUACUAAAAUUGAAAUGAUACAGAGAAAAUUGGCACAGCCCCAUGCAAGGAUGACAUACACAUUUGUGAAGCCUUCUAUAUUUUC
RNAcentral lists this small nuclear RNA (106 nucleotides) under Aotus nancymaae (Ma's night monkey). Lineage: Eukaryota; Metazoa; Chordata; Mammalia; Primates; Aotidae. The record is from RNAcentral.